UACAGAGGGGGCAAGCGUUGUUCGGAAUUACUGGGCGUAAAGGGCGCGUAGGCGGCCUGUUAAGUCGAACGUGAAAUCCCUGGGCUCAACCCAGGAACUGCGUCCGAUACUGGCAGGCUUGAAUCCGGGAGAGGGAUGUGGAAUUCCAGGUGUAGCGGUGAAAUGCGUAGAUAUCUGGAGGAACACCGGUGGCGAAGGCGGCAUCCUGGACCAAUAUUGACGCUGAGGAGCGAAAGCCAGGGGAGCAAACGGG
This 253-nucleotide ribosomal RNA is filed under the name uncultured bacterium. RNAcentral's name for it is "partial 16S ribosomal RNA". It matches the Rfam family "Bacterial small subunit ribosomal RNA", at positions 524 to 776 of the family's 1533-position model. The record is from RNAcentral.